AGUGAACGCUGGCGGUAGGCCUAACACAUGCAAGUCGAACGGCAGCUCCGUAAGUGCUUGCUCUUACGGGUGGCGCGUGGCGGACGGUUGCGGAAUACAUCGGAAUCUACUUUUUCGCGGGGGCUAAUGUAGGGAAUCUUACGCUAAUACCGCAUACGACCUACGGGUGUAAGCCGGGGAUCUUCGGACCUUGCGCGAUGGAAUGAGCCGAUGACGGAUUGGCUAGUUGGCGGGGGAAAGGCCCUCAACGGCGACAGUGCGUAGGUGGUCCGGGGGGAUGGACCGCCACACUGGAUCUGAGACACGGUCCAUACUCCUACGGGAGGAAGCAGUGGGAAAUAGUGGGCGAUGGACGCAAGCCUGAUCCAGCCAUACCGCGUAGGUGAAGAAGGACUUAUGGUUGUAAAGCCCUUUUGUUGGGAAAGAAAAAAAACAGUUUAAUACCCGGCGAUUAUGACGGUACCCAGAGAAGAAGCACCGGCUAACUUCGUG
Molecule: ribosomal RNA, 492 nt
Filed under: uncultured bacterium
Lineage: Bacteria
Description: partial 16S ribosomal RNA
Rfam family: Bacterial small subunit ribosomal RNA
Source: RNAcentral